Long non-coding RNA from Ornithodoros turicata, 909 nucleotides. RefSeq lists it as uncharacterized. The record is from RefSeq and is a predicted model, not a curated record. The transcript is spliced from 4 exons. NCBI's taxonomy places the organism in Eukaryota, Metazoa, Arthropoda, Arachnida, Ixodida, Argasidae.
UCAAAUAGCAAGCUCAACGAUCCCUAUCGCCAAAUAUGUGUGCCCCGCUGAAUAAUAUGUGUGCCUCCUGAGCCGUAUAUUCGUGUGCUUGUCGAAUAAUCCGUGUGCCGGCUGAAUAUGUGUGCCUUCGCUGGAGCGUACUACGUUGUUCCGCGCUCCGCCCGUGAGGAGUGACGUGGCACCGCGUAUUCUACCGCAGUGCAUUCGUCGCUGUGUUCGUGCCUGUUAUGUGCGCUGCAACCUCGCCUUUGAAAGGACGACAACCUUGCUUUUUAAUUACAAGUUUAAUGUUUGCUUAAGACGAUGGACACAUUGCAAAUGGCGGCAGGAGUGGAUCGGCUACAUCGGUGAAGCGACGAUUUAUAUUACAAGCGAGGCUAAUUGUAUUCUUUCGUUAUAGGUGAACGUGGGACUGUAUCGACUGCAAGGACGUAGUGUCCUGUCUCAACGGUCACGCAUAUGCGUGCAAAACUGCAACUGCUUCUCACAUCGAAGAGGGGUCUGGUGCCACAUGCUCGGACAAUUAUUCGUCGGCCAUUUCGUUUGAGGAACUGUCGUGUUCGUCACUAAGGAUGGUCUUGGUUGAGCUUUGCAGUGCCAGCCUGGUGCAUCGGAGGGGUUGUGUCCAUGCAACGUGUGCUCCAUAUGUGUGUGUUGGGAUUAGUAAACCGUGUAUGCUUUCCAUUCGGCCAACGAUGAUGUACUGGAUGAAAUUUAAAGGUGCAUUUCCCAAAUGCUGCAGUGGCUGUGCAUUUGGUGCUCGUGGAAAUUUCUUGUGUCCUGAGUAAUUAGCAGAGAGGCACUCCCCUGAAUUAUGUAUGAGUAAUUCAACUCCUCAUUUAUUGGACUGCGUACAUGUGGAUAGAUUCACAGUUUCUGGCUGCUGGCAUUUGUGAGAACUAUAGCAUC